UGCGGAAGGAUCAUUACCGAGUGUAGGGUUCCUAGCGAGCCCAACCUCCCACCCGUGUUUACUGUACCUUAGUUGCUUCGGCGGGCCCGCCAUUCAUGGCCGCCGGGGGCUCUCAGCCCCGGGCCCGCGCCCGCCGGAGACACCACGAACUCUGUCUGAUCUAGUGAAGUCUGAGUUGAUUGUAUCGCAAUCAGUUAAAACUUUCAACAAUGGAUCUCUUGGUUCCGGCAUCGAUGAAGAACGCAGCGAAAUGCGAUAACUAGUGUGAAUUGCAGAAUUCCGUGAAUCAUCGAGUCUUUGAACGCACAUUGCGCCCCCUGGUAUUCCGGGGGGCAUGCCUGUCCGAGCGUCAUUGCUGCCCAUCAAGCACGGCUUGUGUGUUGGGUCGUCGUCCCCUCUCCGGGGGGGACGGGCCCCAAAGGCAGCGGCGGCACCGCGUCCGAUCCUCGAGCGUAUGGGGCUUUGUCACCCGCUCUGUAGGCCCGGCCGGCGCUUGCCGAACGCAAAUCAAUCUUUUCCAGGUUGACCUCGGAUCAGGUAGGGAUACCCGCUGAACUUAAGCAUAUCAAUAAGCGGAGGAAAAGAAACCAACCGGGAUUGCCUCAGUAACU
Molecule: ribosomal RNA, 611 nt
Filed under: Aspergillus sp. BAB-3864
Lineage: Eukaryota; Fungi; Ascomycota; Eurotiomycetes; Eurotiales; Aspergillaceae
Description: eukaryotic LSU rRNA
Rfam family: 5.8S ribosomal RNA (bases 199-352)
Source: RNAcentral